Molecule: microRNA precursor, 88 nt
Filed under: Gossypium hirsutum (cotton)
Lineage: Eukaryota; Viridiplantae; Streptophyta; Magnoliopsida; Malvales; Malvaceae
Description: MIR7502 microRNA precursor family
Rfam family: MIR7502 microRNA precursor family
Source: Rfam by way of RNAcentral
UGUUAAAAAUUUAAUCCAUUUUUACUGUAAAAAACUGGUAGCGUACCAGGACCAUUUUUAACAGUAGAAUUGGAUUAAAUUUUUAACA